GGAGAAAUGCCGGAGCGGCUGAGCGAACCAGUCUCGAAAACUGGAGUGGGGGGGUAACUCCACUGGGAUUAAAAUCCCACUCUUUCCGCCA
This 91-nucleotide transfer RNA is filed under the name Pectobacterium atrosepticum. RNAcentral describes it as "tRNA-Ser". Lineage: Bacteria; Pseudomonadati; Pseudomonadota; Gammaproteobacteria; Enterobacterales; Pectobacteriaceae. RNAcentral also lists the same sequence under 1 other name. The record is from RNAcentral.